AAACUACCAGAGUUGGGGGUGACUAUGGCACCAGGAAGUCACCUUCUCCCUCCACCUCUGCACAUGAGGGAGAAUCAAGAGAAGGUUUGAAAGGGAUCAAAAGUUGGAAAAGAUCAUUCGACAAUGGUGCUCUUAUAACACCCCUAAUUUUAUACACUAUAAAAUAACAUAUAUUAAAAAUAACAUGUAAAAAGAAAGAAUAAUAAUUGUGUUGAAAUACUUAAAUACUAAAAAUCGAAUGGACAAAUCAAUUUAUUUUUAAUAGUUCUUUCAAAACUACAUUAUUAGAGUCAUGAAAAUAAUUUAAAGACUCCUUAUGCACAUGAUGACCUAUAUUGUGACCAUGAUCCGACUAUUUGACGUGUCUCUAACGAACUACUUGUGAUCCUGCGUACACGACACAUACUUCCGUCUACUAUCUGGAAUGUCUCAAGCGAGUUGCUUUCUUUCUCUGAAAAAAAAAAACAUGAAAGUAAAUGAAUGAGAAUUUUACAAUUCUCAGUGAUAACAAUAUCCACUCCAAAAACAAGAAAAACUUACAUAAACAUAAAUUAAGUAGUUAUAUCAGCGGUAAACAUUUCAAAAAUAACUACUAGCUUCACCAAUGAAAAUAACAUAGUUAAAUCUCUUUCAAAUUAAAGGUCAUUCUUUAAUUCAUUGUUAUCACUUG
Molecule: long non-coding RNA, 670 nt
Filed under: Lotus japonicus
Lineage: Eukaryota; Viridiplantae; Streptophyta; Magnoliopsida; Fabales; Fabaceae
Description: long non-coding RNA (LJAP_LNC000319)
Source: RNAcentral